Molecule: ribosomal RNA, 253 nt
Filed under: uncultured bacterium
Lineage: Bacteria
Description: partial 16S ribosomal RNA
Rfam family: Bacterial small subunit ribosomal RNA
Source: RNAcentral
UACGUAGGGGGCAAGCGUUGUCCGGAUUUAUUGGGCGUAAAGAGCGUGUAGGCGGCCAGGUAGGUGGGUUGUGAAAACUGGAGGCUCAACCUUCAGAGGUCGACCGAAACCAUCUGGCUAGAGUCCGGGAGAGGAGAGUGGAAUUCCUGGUGUAGCGGUGAAAUGCGCAGAUAUCAGGAAGAACACCCGUGGCGAAAGCGGCUCUCUGGAACGGUACUGACGCUGAGACGCGAAAGCGUGGGGAGCGAACAGG